UUUUUUUUUUUAAAUAUUACUAUUAAGGUUUAUUUUAUUUCAGUUUUAUUUAUUUGUAGUUUCAGUAAUUUUAGUGCUUUAACUUAAAAUUACAUUUCACUUAGCUGCCAAGGCAAUAUUUCUCAUUUUCAUUUAAUUAGUUUUUCAUGUAAUAUUUAUAGUUUAUUUUAUUUCAGAUUUUUUUAAACUAUAUGUUUUUGCCAUUUGCCAUAUUUUUUUUUAAUAUUGCUAUGUUUAUUUUUAUUUCAGUUUUAUUUAUUUUUUAUUUUCAAUGUUCUUCUAAAAUCAGAGCAGAACAUGAUUUCCUGCGUUCUGAUUGGCUGACAGGACGUGAGGCUGAAAGCAGCAAACUCAGCACAUCAGCGCUGCAUCAGCAGAUCCUCCAUCACACCUUCAUCCUCAAACACUUCUCAUCCGUUUGUCAUCCGGGCACAGCUAUUAUUCAUCCGUCCUCUUGUUCCCCUGCGCUCCUGUCGUGUGAUGAAUCAGGAGAUCUUCUGUGUAUUAUCCUCUCGUUUGUCUCUUUGAAUUGAAGUGUGGAAGAUGCAGAAACAUUCAUCUUUCCUGAAGGAGUACAGGAGCAUCAGUGCUGGGAAACAUUCUCAUCAGAUCAAACACUGAAACACACUCAACCUGUCGAGUUUUACACUCGUCUUGCACCAAAGAACAAGUCAUUGUGCACCAGGGUUAUUAAAACCAUCAAAUAAUGUUUGUUGCUUGAAAUAAAAUAAACCU
Long non-coding RNA from Cyprinus carpio carpio, 735 nucleotides. The record is from Ensembl. Lineage: Eukaryota; Metazoa; Chordata; Actinopteri; Cypriniformes; Cyprinidae.